This is a long non-coding RNA of Glycine soja, 358 nucleotides long. RefSeq lists it as uncharacterized. The transcript is spliced from 2 exons. NCBI's taxonomy places the organism in Eukaryota, Viridiplantae, Streptophyta, Magnoliopsida, Fabales, Fabaceae. The record is from RefSeq and is a predicted model, not a curated record.
AAGCGGAACGCGUAAAAUGAACGGUAACCCUCAUAAAAUCUACUAAACGCUCCUUUGCUGCCGGUGCUCUUCUUUCUGCAAUCAUUUUGCUUUCUCUGUUUAUCAAAUCACAAAGGCAUAAUGAUUAUCGCUUGUGGAUUGCAUGAAGUUCAGUCGAGUUUAGCGAUUGUGACUUGCCAUGUUUGAUGUGGUUACCCUCUUUAGAAUCUUAUCUUCUCUAGCAUGUAUUAUUUGUCUUCGAUAAAGAACAGAUUGUCUUCUACCCAAUAUCAAAAUAAUUUGCAUUUUUUCUCCGUGUAUAACCAAGAGGCAUUGUCAUACCCAUUGAUUUGUGAAGUCGAUUUUAUCAUUGAAUUUU